Molecule: small nucleolar RNA, 80 nt
Organism: Lycium barbarum (goji berry)
Lineage: Eukaryota; Viridiplantae; Streptophyta; Magnoliopsida; Solanales; Solanaceae
Product: small nucleolar RNA Z199
Exons: 1
Source: RefSeq, a predicted model, not a curated record
UGUCAUAUGAUGAGAGAAAAAAACUGCAACAAAAUGAUCGAAUUUAUUCGUGAUUACUAUAGUAUUUAAGUCUGAUGAUU